UACGGGGGGGGCAAGCGUUGUUCGGAAUUACUGGGCGUAAAGGGCGCGUAGGCGGCCUGCUAAGUCGGACGUGAAAUCCCUCGGCUCAACCGAGAAACGUCGGCUGAUACUGCCGUUCUUGAGGGAUGCAGAGGAGACUGGAAUUCCCGGUGUAGCGGUGAAAUGUGUAGAGAUCGGGAGGAACACCGGUGGCGAAGGCGGGUCUCUGGGCAUCUCCUGACGCUGAGGCGCGAAAGCGUGGGGAGCAAACGGG
RNAcentral lists this ribosomal RNA (253 nucleotides) under uncultured bacterium. RNAcentral describes it as "partial 16S ribosomal RNA". It matches the Rfam family "Bacterial small subunit ribosomal RNA", at positions 524 to 776 of the family's 1533-position model. The record is from RNAcentral.